This is a transfer RNA of Schizopora paradoxa, 87 nucleotides long. It matches the Rfam family "tRNA". From Rfam's summary of the family: Transfer RNA (tRNA) molecules are approximately 80 nucleotides in length. Their secondary structure includes four short double-helical elements and three loops (D, anti-codon, and T loops). Lineage: Eukaryota; Fungi; Basidiomycota; Agaricomycetes; Hymenochaetales; Schizoporaceae. The record is from Rfam.
GCCCUUGUAGCUUAGUGGUAGAGCGUUGCACUUGUAUUCUUAGGAUACGAAAUGCAAAGGUCGCUAGUUCGACUCUGGUCGGGGGCA